GACGAACGCUGGCGGCGUGCCUAAUACAUGCAAGUAGAACGCUGAAGAGAGGAGCUUGCUCUUCUUGGAUGAGUUGCGAACGGGUGAGUAACGCGUAGGUAACAUGACUUGUAGCGGGGGAUAACUAUAGGAAACGAUAGCUAAUACCGCAUAACAAUGGAUGACACAUGUCAUUUAUUUGAAAGGGGCAAUUGCUCCACUACAAGAUGGACCUACGUUGUAUUAGCUAGUAGGUGAGGUAAUGGCUCACCUAGGCGACGAUACAUAGCCGACCUGAGAGGGUGAGCGGCCACGCUGGGACUGGGACACGGCCAGCAACCCUAGGGGAGACAGCAGGAGGGAAUCUUCGGGGGUGGGGGCAGCCCUGACCGAUCAACGCCGCGUGAGUGAAUAAUGCUUUCGGAUCGUAAGGCUCUGUUGUGAGCCAAGAUCGGGUGUGAGUGUUGAAAGUGCACACUGUGACGGUAGCGUACGAGAAAGGGACGGCUAACUACGUG
Molecule: ribosomal RNA, 497 nt
Filed under: uncultured bacterium
Lineage: Bacteria
Description: partial 16S ribosomal RNA
Rfam family: Bacterial small subunit ribosomal RNA
Source: RNAcentral